AGAACAGUUUAACAUGUAACCAGAAUCUAUACAAAAAUAGCUCCUAGCCCUGUCACUAGAUUGACAAGAAGCGAGAGCGCCAAAUUUUCUUGCGCUGCUGCCCUCUCAGCCAACCGUCACGUACAAUGACAGCUGAACUUCCGUUGCCACCACAGUCACAAGAGAAGGAGAAAACUUUGUGUCGGACAGAAGAGUGAGCACGAAUCAUAUCGCGUGCAGUUCGGUCGUGAGUCUCGUUGGGAAAAGUCGUUCCGGCGUCGUGCAAAACCCACGACAUAUUAGAGUUGAUCCGGGUCCUCGCAGCACAUCAGACCGCUUCAAGACGAACCGAAAAAUCGCUAGAACAACGCUCUAGCGAGCAGAAAGAGCAAAUUUUGGGAACAGGGAGUGCGCACGAAUUCUGGUCCCAGUCGUAAGUCUCGCAUGUGGGAAAACUUAACCUCAUUUGUAAUACAUCCCCUCAACGCAGAUUUUCUGGUCGGUUCUGGAACACCACAAGAACUCGUCGCAGUGAGGUCAUCCGACUGCGUAGGACGUUAGGAAAUAUCAACUCACAACCGAACGUCCACAGAAUCCCAGGAGGAGAGUCACGAGAUUAGUACUCCUACAAUCACUCAGUUUCACCCGAAGCAAUCCGGGAGGACAGAAAGGCCCCAGAAGGGGCCUUUUUCCACACGUGGGAUACUGCAUACUAGACCUCCGGAGAGACGACGACGCAGACACAGGGCUGGAACAAGGAUUCGUUCUGUAGGCCUUCUCCAGUGAACGAACGCCAACGGCCCGCGGUGCUAGUGGGUCGGCCCCACUCGACGAUGCGGAUCGCACACCGAUUGCAAGUCGAAGGACGUGUAAACUGACCGGAGAGGUUGAUACCAGACAGACACGACAGCGCGUAUUUCUUUGCCCCAGGUGCCCAGCCUCAACUCCAAGCACGAACGGCCAUCUAGAGGGUCCUUCAGGUUUGCAUGCCCACGAGACACGGCGCGAAUCGAAUCGCCCAGCGAGAAAGGAUCCUGCGCAGCGGACGGCAUUGGUACAGGGUGAGGCAGCAGAGCGGUGAGCAAAUGCACAAGUUACUCUAAAACCACCAAAAUGAAGCAUUAUGUUAGAUUUUAAGAGAAAUUUGCUCGAUAUGAGCCGAAAUUAGGAGUUUUAGGGCCAUAGGAUUAGAUAUAACCUAUAUCGGGUGAGCAAACCCAGAAAGGCAAAUAAAAUCAUGUUCUUAUAAG
Molecule: long non-coding RNA, 1229 nt
Organism: Aedes aegypti (yellow fever mosquito)
Lineage: Eukaryota; Metazoa; Arthropoda; Insecta; Diptera; Culicidae
Exons: 3
Source: RefSeq, a predicted model, not a curated record